CUCACAUGCAUUAUAUGCGUGCAUCCUGCUUGCUAUACAAAGAUCAUGCAAAUGUGGUAUUUAAAAGAAUAUAUUUGCAGAAUUGUAGUUUUUAAACGAAAAUGGCAUCGUUUUGUUUAGAAUGCAUUUCUCCUCUCACCCCCAGCCUGCCCAAGUGCUUCAGUCCGGUGCGUUACAAUAAGCGCUGUUUAAAAUGCGUCUGAAGAAGCAGCAAAAUGGAAGACUGCCCUCUAACGUCAACAGAGCCACCGGAGGGGCUGAAAUGCAGCGAAGGGAUGUGGAGGAGGAUUGAAAUGGGCCUCAACUUCUGCAGAAAACCCUUCAGAAUGCCAAACAGAGCUCAUUGUGUUACUACGUGGGUGUUUGAAAAGGUGGGAUCCCUGAGAAGGUAGGCUCCAAAUACCAAAUAUUUUCUAUUGUGGUGCCAGCUUUUUCAAUGCACAGAUCAAAGUAAAUGCCUGUUGGAUCUGAUACAGCUUCCUACUUCACCAAGUUUACCCUAAGAACAUUAUUUAAAAAACAAUACUAACCAGCAUUUGAAUUAAUACAUGCCAGUGAAUGAUUACUAAAGACAAGGCAUGAAUCACAGUUGGAACUCCAGCUCUCUUUACAUCCACAUCAUCAUUUCUGCCUUCUUGAGAGCUGUCUGCUCCCAUGUUUCUGAGUUGGUUUUGUGUUGCUGGCUGAUGGGGGUGAGGACCAAUGCUGGUCCUUAACCUGGGACCAUGGCUACCAAACCAUGCAGGGGUAUUUGGGGAACUGACAUAAAACGUGUUUCCCUCUGCACUCCUGGCUGCGGUGCUUAAUUUUCUGAUCAUUCAUCCAACUCGUAGGAAUAUUCACAGGGAAAGAUCACCAAGGUGGAUGCAAAUUCAGACAUGAUUGAAACAUCAAUCACUGACUCACGGAAAAAAAUAUUUACAGUGUUUUGUAAGUUGAGAAAGGAAUAAUUUAAUGAAUCGUGCAUCCUAAGGGGGUUUUGCGGGGAAAUUUGAUGCCAAACAUUUGCACUCUAUGCAAAAACUGUGCGCUCGUCAAGAACUGAAAAAGGCCAGAAAUGAAACAAAGUCCCAAAGUGGUUUCAGAGAGGCUAACCAGAAACCUUUGUUUUUCCAUUGGAAAGUCCAGAUCAUAAAAUGUGAAGUGAUCUGAGAAGAAUUAAUCAAUCUCAAUGCGGUCAUAAGGGAGAAGCCAACCUGUCAGGCCCCCCUUUGCUCCCUUGUGUUAGGGAUCCAUGCUGACCACCCAUCUGAGCCCCCAUGUUGGCGUGGAACCCUCUAUGCAACAAGGAACUGAACUUCAGAUACCCAUCCUAUGCAUCUUUCUUUUGUUUUGCCACUUAACAGUACUUUUUAGGUUCAAAAUUCAUUGCACUGAAGUUUCUGGUCAUCCAUAAAAGAGAAGAGCAGCCAAGCAAGCUGAAAGCUAAUGACUGUGAUUUAUAGGCAGGUUGUCCCAGUGUAACGACGCACACAAGUUCCUGUGUCUAAAAGAUUGGUGCACUUAUUUAAGUUAAUAAAAGUAUUUAUUCUUUUUAUUUCA
This 1542-nucleotide long non-coding RNA is filed under the name Coturnix japonica (Japanese quail). Its description in RNAcentral is "lncRNA (ENSCJPG00005001276.1)". The record is from RNAcentral. Lineage: Eukaryota; Metazoa; Chordata; Aves; Galliformes; Phasianidae.